This 77-nucleotide transfer RNA is filed under the name Stegodyphus mimosarum. It matches the Rfam family "tRNA", at positions 7 to 64 of the family's 71-position model. From Rfam's summary of the family: Transfer RNA (tRNA) molecules are approximately 80 nucleotides in length. Their secondary structure includes four short double-helical elements and three loops (D, anti-codon, and T loops). Lineage: Eukaryota; Metazoa; Arthropoda; Arachnida; Araneae; Eresidae. The record is from Rfam by way of RNAcentral.
AUAGCUCAGCUGGCAGAGCGGUGGACUGUAGGUGCUAAAAAGGUAGUAAUCCAUAGGGCGCUGGUUCACCUCCGGCU